UAGGGAAACUUACGCUAAUACCGCAUAGACCUACGGGUGAAAGCAGGGGAUCUUCGGACCUUGCGCGAUUGAAUGAGCCGAUGUCGGAUUAGCUAGUUGGCGGGGUGAAGGCCCACCAAGGCGACGAUCCGUAGCUGGUCUGAGAGGAUGAUCAGCCACACUGGAACUGAGACACGGUCCAGACUCCUACGGGAGGCAGCAGCG
RNAcentral lists this ribosomal RNA (204 nucleotides) under uncultured Stenotrophomonas sp. RNAcentral describes it as "partial 16S ribosomal RNA". It matches the Rfam family "Bacterial small subunit ribosomal RNA", at positions 149 to 356 of the family's 1533-position model. The record is from RNAcentral. Lineage: Bacteria; Pseudomonadati; Pseudomonadota; Gammaproteobacteria; Lysobacterales; Lysobacteraceae.